CGCACGGGUGCGUAACGCGUAUGCAAUCUACCUUUCACAGAGGGAUAGCCCAGAGAAAUUUGGAUUAAUACCUCAUAGUAUAACAUGACCGCAUGGUCGAGAUUAUUAAAGUUACAACGGUGAAAGAUGAGCAUGCGUCCCAUUAGCUAGUUGGUAAGGUAACGGCUUACCAAGGCAACGAUGGGUAGGGGUCCUGAGAGGGAGAUCCCCCACACUGGUACUGAGACACGGACCAGACUCCUACGGGAGGCAGCAGUGAGGAAUAUUGGACAAUGGGCGCAAGCCUGAUCCAGCCAUGCCGCGUGCAGGAUGACGGUCCUAUGGAUUGUAAACUGCUUUUAUACGAGAAGAAACACCUCUACGUGUAGGGACUUGACGGUAUCGUAAGAAUAAGGAUCGGCUAACUCCGUGCCAGCAGCCGCGGUAAUACGGAGGAUCCAAGCGUUAUCCGGAAUCAUUGGGUUUAAAGGGUCCGUAGGCGGUCAGAUAAGUCAGUGGUGAAAGCCCAUCGCUCAACGGUGGAACGGCCAUUGAUACUGUCUGACUUGAAUUAUUAGGAAGUAACUAGAAUAUGUAGUGUAGCGGUGAAAUGCUUAGAGAUUACAUGGAAUACCAAUUGCGAAGGCAGGUUACUACUAAUAUAUUGACGCUGAUGGACGAAAGCGUGGGUAGCGAACAGGAUUAGAUACCCUGGUAGUCCACGCCGUAAACGAUGGAUACUAGCUGUUGGGAGCAAUCUCAGUGGCUAAGCGAAAGUGAUAAGUANCCNCCUGGGGAGUACGUNCCCAAAAUGAACUCAAAGNAUUGACGGGGGCCCCCCAANCGGNGNANCUGGGGU
Molecule: ribosomal RNA, 838 nt
Filed under: Flavobacterium sp.
Lineage: Bacteria; Pseudomonadati; Bacteroidota; Flavobacteriia; Flavobacteriales; Flavobacteriaceae
Description: bacterial SSU rRNA
Rfam family: Bacterial small subunit ribosomal RNA
Source: RNAcentral